CCUACGGGAGGCAGCAGUAGGGAAUAUUGCACAAUGGGCGAAAGCCUGAUGCAGCAACGCCGCGUGCGGGAAGAAGGCCUUAGGGUUGUAAACCGCUUUCAGCAGGGAAGAAAAUGACGGUACCUGCAGAAGAAGGUGCGGCCAACUACGUGCCAGCAGCCGCGGUGACACGUAGGCACCAAGCGUUGUCCGGAUUUAUUGGGCGUAAAGAGCUCGUAGGCGGUUCAGUUAGUCGGGUGUGAAAACUCUGGGCUCAACCCAGAGACGCCACUCGAUACUGCUGUGACUAGAGUGCGGUAGGGGAGCGGGGAAUUCCUAGUGUAGCGGUGAAAUGCGCAGAUAUUAGGAGGAACACCAGUGGCGAAGGCGCCGCUCUGGGCCGUAACUGACGCUGAGGAGCGAAAGCGUGGGUAGCAAACAGGAUUAGAUACCCUGGUAGUCCACGCCGUAAACGUUGGGCACUAGGUGUGGGUCUCAACCAACGAGAUCCGCGCCGUCGCUAACGCAUUAAGUGCCCCGCCUGGGGAGUACGGCCGCAAGGCUAAAACUCAAAGGAAUUGACGG
This 564-nucleotide ribosomal RNA is filed under the name uncultured Actinomycetes bacterium. RNAcentral's name for it is "bacterial SSU rRNA". It matches the Rfam family "Bacterial small subunit ribosomal RNA", at positions 338 to 916 of the family's 1533-position model. The record is from RNAcentral. Lineage: Bacteria; Bacillati; Actinomycetota; Actinomycetes.